This 468-nucleotide ribosomal RNA is filed under the name uncultured bacterium. RNAcentral describes it as "partial 16S ribosomal RNA". It matches the Rfam family "Bacterial small subunit ribosomal RNA", at positions 28 to 507 of the family's 1533-position model. The record is from RNAcentral.
GACGAACGCUGGCGGCGUGCUUAACACAUGCAAGUCGAACGGAAAGGCCCUGCUUUUGUGGGGUGCUCGAGUGGCGAACGGGUGAGUAACACGUGAGUAACCUGCCCUUGACUUUGGGAUAACUUCAGGAAACUGGGGCUAAUACCGGAUAGGAGCUCCUGCUGCAGGGGGGGGGUUGGAAAGUUUCGGCGGUUGGGGAUGGACUCGCGGCUUAUCAGCUUGUUGGUGGGGUAGUGGCUUACCAAGGCUUUGACGGGUAGCCGGCCUGAGAGGGUGACCGGCCACAUUGGGACUGAGAUACGGCCCAGACUCCUACGGGAGGCAGCAGUGGGGAAUAUUGCCCAAUGGGCGGAAGCCUGAUGCAGCAACGCCGCGUGCGGGAUGACGGCCUUCGGGUUGUAAACCGCUUUCGCCUGUGACGAAGCGUGAGUGACGGUAAUGGGUAAAGAAGCACCGGCUAACUACGUG